CGUAAUUCUUUGACGGGAACUUUCUUUAAAAGCAACUCAUUUCCAUUUUUCCAGAUGAAUCACAUGACAAAUGAGGAUCAUCAGCAAGUAGCAGUCCAAGCAUUGAUUGUCUUAGAUGUUCUCAAUCUUUCAGAAAUGAAUGGAUCAUUGUGGUUUAAGCGUGUAGCUGAUCAUAUGCUUGAAGAUGAAAGGACCAUGCUAAUUACUGAAAGAUUUGAAAAAAUUGUAGCUGAUGAUAUGCUUGAAGAUGAUAUCCUAAAAGAAGAGCUAACUUCUAAUAAUGCAUCGUUUUAAAUUUUUAAUAUUUUACUUUAUUUAAUAAAGUUGGUCAUUUGUUUUUUUUGUUAUUGUAUAUAUUCACUGUAAAAAAUAA
Long non-coding RNA from Raphanus sativus (radish), 373 nucleotides. RefSeq lists it as uncharacterized. Lineage: Eukaryota; Viridiplantae; Streptophyta; Magnoliopsida; Brassicales; Brassicaceae. The transcript has 3 exons. The record is from RefSeq and is a predicted model, not a curated record.